GGUUGGCCAAGCAGUUACUUACCUGGAGUGGAAAGUUGGUAUUCCGGAAAGUUGGUGUUAUGAGGUUGUCGACUUUUUCGUCUCAGCAUUAUGAAAGUCAGGAUUAAAAAAAAUGGAAUGUCAUCACUUUCUGCAGCUCCGUUAUUAGAAAGGCUUUCUAGGACCCAUUUAGCGUCACGCUUCAGAAUGUCUGCCACCAGGACAUAGAAAAUGCCUUAUAUUUAUAAAUGAGAGAAUGGUGAAAUGACUAACAACAUUGUCAAGAUGAGACAUUACAGAAGAUGAAAAGUUAUCCAUCACACCAAAGCUGACAUUUGACUACUUUGAAAUAUAAUCUAUAACACAGAGCAUACUGAUGUUGAUGAUUUCCAGCUGAUAUUGACACUGAAGGGUGUGUUAACCACCAAUGAUGACAGCAUCAUUAAACUAUCCAUCACAUGCACCACAACAUCAUGGUCCUACAUAGGCAGCAGAUAUAAUAUAGCAGUUCCAUUGUCACAAACAGGUUGCAGCCCCAUCAAAACAUGGGCGCAAGGGCACAGAGUCAGUGUGGGGAUCCCUGCUGGUAUUGCCACAGACAGCUUGGUGCUUGCUGCCAUGUCCAACUAAGUGCACUCAGUAGAGCAGCACUCUAUGAUGCAACAGACACAGGCAUGCCCAUAACAUCUACUACUGUAGAUCAGUCUGUGCCAGAUGCAAAAGCAUCCAUUGCUGAUCACUGAGCAUUCAAUAUAUAUGUUAGAAAGUGAUUAAUGCAUGGGGAAAUACACAUCUGGUCUAUCAGAACUACAUUUUGCCAGACUUGAGUAGAGCUGAUGCCUGCUACAGACUGUCUUUCAUCAGCAUUGCUAAAUUCAGCCAUGUUCAUUUAGGUGACAACUCUGGGCAUGUUUCAUGGUGCUGCACCUGCUGAUAUGACUCUGCUGCUGCUCUCUGUUCACAAAGAUUGUGAGAGAAUGCAGGGAUCUACAAAUGUAAGAUAUGAUGCUGCUAUUCAACACACACCUGUAUUGAUAGCUUUAGUUGUCUUGACCUCUACUUUACAAGCUUCCUAGAGAAUGUGCUGCUUUAUUUAAGGAAAAUAUAUUACUCCCUGUGCUGCUAAGACAUGGCAUGGCAGACAAAUAGCUGUAACAUAUGCACGUAAGUCUUUAAAUAUUGCAUUCGCCUUAUUUAGAGUCCAUUCAGAUGCAUGUGUGUACAUACAUACACACCUGGUUUGUUAUUGAACAGCUAAGCACUAUCACAUUGUGAAAUAAACUUAUGAUUACAUUAUAUAAUUAAAGAAGUGAACCAAAGACUGUGGGUUUAGUAAGUUAUAUGACUUACUAGGAAAAGACAGUCAAGUGUGAAAUCAAAAUGAUGGGAUGAGAGGCAGGUUGCUACAAAAAAAACAAGUUUAACACUAACUAAAGUAAUUAAUAUAUGUAGAGUGAGCAAAUACUUCAUAUAAGCUGAAAGAACUUACAGAUGAAUUAGAACUAUGCAAAUCUGCAUAUGAAACAAAAGAAAUGAAAAUGAGUGAAAAUAAAAGAAAAAUAAAUUACAAGAACUACAGGAAGCAUGAAAACCAUUGAAGCAUCGUUAACAAGCUUUGCAUGAUGUAAUAUUAUAAGCAUGAUAAAAGGAAUGACCUGCAUUGAUUCAAGUGUGUAGAAGUUGUAGCAAGAGAAAUCAUGUUGCUAAAACAUGCAAAAUGGAAGAAACAAGCCUUCAGUCAAUAAGAAGGAAUACUGUGAGAAACUGUUAUGAGUUUAUGGUACAGUAAAGACUGGGAAGGUGCAUAAAAAGUGAUAAAAAAUAAUUGAAAGCAAAGAAUCAUCCAUAAAUCCAAGAAAAGAGGCUAAAAAUAAUAAUCAGUUUAAACACACAGGUGAAAAAAUGACAUUAGAAAUAGUCACAUGCAUAAAAUAAAGUUGCAGCUAUUCAGAUGUGGUAAACAAUGAAUCUCAUUCUGAAAAGGAGAACACUGAAGCCAUUAAUAUUUUAAGUUUGCGCUAUUUCAGCUCAUAGUGUAAAGCUAUUGGGGUAGAAAGUGAUACCUAAUGAACAGAUUAUACACUUUGAGGCAGCUGUUAUGGACGCUUCUGCAAACUGAAUUGUUUGAGUUGUGUGAAGCAAGGUAUGGUGAAAAGGAAUCAUACAGAGCACUGCAGAGUAAUGAUUUGUUUUCAAGGAUGAAUAUUUUAUAUCAUGAUCUGGUCUGUUUGCUAGGAGUUCUUCAUAUUUAGAAAGAUCCCUUUGUAUUGCCAGUAGUGCAUGAUUCAAGCAAAGUUCUAGCAGCCCUGAGGAGUAGAAAAAUAAGUCACUGAAAUUUGCAGGGAAGUGACUAUAGCUAAGAAAUAGAAUAAACCUAAUGAAUGGAUGAAUUGAAUUGUUACAUUUAUAUAUUCUAAUAAAACAGGUACAUGUAUAGCCUCAUAACAGCUAAAUAAAGCUAUAAAGAAUAAAUUUCCUGUUGACGCAAAUAAAGAAGUGAUUUAUGCUCUGCCAGAUGUGAAGUAUGCUUGCUUGUUUAAUGCUUACUAUGGAUUUUGUUAA
This is a long non-coding RNA of Protopterus annectens (West African lungfish), 2541 nucleotides long. RefSeq lists it as uncharacterized. NCBI's taxonomy places the organism in Eukaryota, Metazoa, Chordata, Ceratodontiformes, Protopteridae. The record is from RefSeq and is a predicted model, not a curated record. The transcript has 3 exons.